AAUGAACGCUGGCGGCAGGCCUAACACAUGCAAGUCGAACGGAUCCUUCGGGAUUAGUCGCGGAUUGAUGAGUGAACCGGUGGAAAAUACCCAUUGGUACGGAAUAUCGUCGGGGAACUGGUAGUAAUACCGACGGUGGUCGAGCGAAGAACGUGUGAUCGACAAAGGAGUGGCCCGCGUUGGACUAGGUAGUUGGUGGGGUAAUGGCCUACCAAGCCGACGAUCCAUAGCUGGUUUGAGAGGAUGAUCAGCCACACUGGGACGGAGACACGGCCCAGAAUCCUACGGGAGGCAGCAGUGGGGAAUCUUAGACAAUGGGGGAAACCCUGAUCUAGCCAUGCCGCGUGAUCGAUGAAGGCCUUAGGGUUGUAAAGAUCUUUCAGGUGGGAAGAUAAUGACUGUACCAUCAGAAGAAGCCCCGGCUAACUCCGUGCCAGCCGCCGCGGUAA
RNAcentral lists this ribosomal RNA (449 nucleotides) under uncultured bacterium. RNAcentral's name for it is "partial 16S ribosomal RNA". It matches the Rfam family "Bacterial small subunit ribosomal RNA", at positions 29 to 523 of the family's 1533-position model. The record is from RNAcentral.